This is a non-coding RNA of Pelobates cultripes (western spadefoot toad), 311 nucleotides long. NCBI's taxonomy places the organism in Eukaryota, Metazoa, Chordata, Amphibia, Anura, Pelobatidae. The record is from the annotation of a GenBank genome assembly.
CUCCUGCAAAAUGUCUUGAUAAAAUUGGGAAUUUGUUUUUCCUUCGAUGAUAGCAAUCCAUCCAGGCCCUGACGCAGCAAAGCAGCCCCAAACCAUGAUGUCCCCACCACCAUACUUCACAGCUGGGAUGAGAUUUUGAUGUUGGUGUGCUGUGCCUUUUUUCACCACACAUAGUGUUGUGUGUUUCUUCCAAACAACUCAACUUUGGUUUCAUGUGUCCACAGAAUAUUUUGCCAGUACUGCUGUGGAACACCCAGGUGCUCUUGUGCAAACUGUAAACGUGCAGCAAUGUUUUGUUUGGAUAGCAGUGG